RNAcentral lists this ribosomal RNA (710 nucleotides) under Bacillus pumilus. RNAcentral describes it as "bacterial SSU rRNA". It matches the Rfam family "Bacterial small subunit ribosomal RNA", at positions 35 to 727 of the family's 1533-position model. The record is from RNAcentral. Lineage: Bacteria; Bacillati; Bacillota; Bacilli; Caryophanales; Bacillaceae.
AAUUCCGUAGUGCAUUAACAUGUAAGUCGAGCGAACUGAUUAGAAACUUGCUUCUAUGACGUUAGCGGCGGACGGGUGAGUAACACGUGGGCAACCUGCCUGUAAGACUGGGAUAACUCCGGGAAACCGGAGCUUAUACCGGAUAACAUUUUCUCUUGCAUAAGAAAAAAUUGAAGGAUGGUUUCGGCUAUGACUUACGGAUGGGCCCGCGGUGCAUUAGCUAGUUGGUGAGGUAACGGCUCACCAAGGCAACGAUGCAGAGCCAACCUGAGAGGGUGAUCGGCCACACUGGGACUGAGACACGGCCCAAACUCCUACGGGAGGCAGCAGUAGGGAAUCUUCCGCAAUGGACGAAAGUCUGACGGAGCAACGCCGCGUGAGUGAUGAAGGCUUUCGGGUCGUAAAACUCUGUUGUUAGGGAAGAACAAGUACAAGAGUAACUGCUUGUACCUUGACGGUACCUAACCAGAAAGCCACGGCUAACUACGUGCCAGCAGCCGCGGUAAUACGUAGGUGGCAAGCGUUAUCCGGAAUUAUUGGGCGUAAAGCGCGCGCAGGCGGUUUCUUAAGUCUGAUGUGAAAGCCCACGGUUCAACCGUGGAGGGUCAUUGGAAACUGGGGAACUUGAGUGCAGAAGAGAAAAGAUCGAUGUYACGUGUAGCGGUGAAAUGCGUAGAGAUGUGGAGGAACACCAGUGGCGAAGGCGGCUU